RNAcentral lists this long non-coding RNA (507 nucleotides) under Homo sapiens (human). RNAcentral describes it as "HSALNT0386703". The record is from RNAcentral. Lineage: Eukaryota; Metazoa; Chordata; Mammalia; Primates; Hominidae.
AGAAGGGGGUGAGGGUGGGAGUUGGGGUGGGGGGACAAUGAUGUAAGUCACCAUCCCACUGCCAAGGCCCGAGAGCCAGGUUCACCAAAGUCUGAGGGCAGGAGAAGAUGGAUGUCCCAGCUCAGGCAGAGAAUGAAUUCCCCCUACCUCUGCCCUUUGUUUUGCUCAGGCCCUCAACUGACUGGAUGCUGCCUGCCCACAUUGGUGAGGGUGAUCUUCUUUAGAGUCUACCGUGGAAAUGCUAAUCUCUUCCUGAAACACCCACACAGAAUCCUCUUUGCGAUUAGUGGAGUCGGAUUUUCCAAGCUGCAAAUGUCAGCAAAAGCUCAACCCUCCAGCCCUCUCCUAAAUCAACUGCAGAGGCCAGCUUGCUGUUCCAGCAGGUCCCAAUGUGCCCAAGUGCACCUGCGGUCACAGACGUUCUGGCUCUGCUCCAGCUGAGGCGUGAGCCCCCAGAGGCCUGAGUUAUGUGAAAUUUCUGCUUAUUAGAGAGUGUUUCGCAGCUGA